GACGAACGCUGGCGGCGUGCUUAACACAUGCAAGUCGUACGGUAAGGCCCUUUCGGGGGUACACGAGUGGCGAACGGGUGAGUAACACGUGAGUAACCUGCCCACAACUUUGGGAUAACGCUAGGAAACUGGUGCUAAUACUGGAUAUGUGCUCCUGCUGCAUGGUGGGGGUUGGAAAGCUCCGGCGGUUGUGGAUGGACUCGCGGCCUAUCAGCUUGUUGGUGGGGUAGUGGCCUACCAAGGCGGCGACGGGUAGCCGGCCUGAGAGGGUGACCGGCCACAUUGGGACUGAGAUACGGCCCAGACUCCUACGGGAGGCAGCAGUGGGGAAUAUUGCACAAUGGGCGCAAGCCUGAUGCAGCAACGCCGCGGGCGGGAUGACGGCCUUCGGGUUGUAAACCGAUUUCAGCAGGGACGAAGCUUUUUGUGACGGUACCUGCAGAAGAAGCACCGGCUAACUACGUG
Molecule: ribosomal RNA, 465 nt
Filed under: uncultured bacterium
Lineage: Bacteria
Description: partial 16S ribosomal RNA
Rfam family: Bacterial small subunit ribosomal RNA
Source: RNAcentral